This 870-nucleotide ribosomal RNA is filed under the name Salmonella enterica subsp. enterica serovar Agama. RNAcentral's name for it is "partial 23S ribosomal RNA". It matches the Rfam family "Bacterial large subunit ribosomal RNA", at positions 677 to 1547 of the family's 2925-position model. The record is from RNAcentral. Lineage: Bacteria; Pseudomonadati; Pseudomonadota; Gammaproteobacteria; Enterobacterales; Enterobacteriaceae.
CCGAGUCUUAACCGGGCGUUAAGUUGCAGGGUAUAGACCCGAAACCCGGUGAUCUAGCCAUGGGCAGGUUGAAGGUUGGGUAACACUAACUGGAGGACCGAACCGACUAAUGUUGAAAAAUUAGCGGAUGACCUGUGGCUGGGGGUGAAAGGCCAAUCAAACCGGGAGAUAGCUGGUUCUCCCCGAAAGCUAUUUAGGUAGCGCCUCGUGAACUCAUCUCCGGGGGUAGAGCACUGUUUCGGCUAGGGGGCCAUCCCGGCUUACCAACCCGAUGCAAACUGCGAAUACCGGAGAAUGUUAUCACGGGAGACACACGGCGGGUGCUAACGUCCGUCGUGAAGAGGGAAACAACCCAGACCGCCAGCUAAGGUCCCAAAGUCAUGGUUAAGUGGGAAACGAUGUGGGAAGGCCCAGACAGCCAGGAUGUUGGCUUAGAAGCAGCCAUCAUUUAAAGAAAGCGUAAUAGCUCACUGGUCGAGUCGGCCUGCGCGGAAGAUGUAACGGGGCUAAACCAUGCACCGAAGCUGCGGCAGCGACGCUGAUGCGUUGUUGGGUAGGGGAGCGUUCUGUAAGCCUGUGAAGGUGGCCUGUGAGGGUUGCUGGAGGUAUCAGAAGUGCGAAUGCUGACAUAAGUAACGAUAAAGCGGGUGAAAAGCCCGCUCGCCGGAAGACCAAGGGUUCCUGUCCAACGUUAAUCGGGGCAGGGUGAGUCGACCCCUAAGGCGAGGCCGAAAGGCGUAGUCGAUGGGAAACGGGUUAAUAUUCCCGUACUUGGUGUUACUGCGAAGGGGGGACGGAGAAGGCUAUGUUGGCCGGGCGACGGUUGUCCCGGUUUAAGCGUGUAGGUGUGUGUUCCAGGUAAAUCCGGUU